Molecule: transfer RNA, 65 nt
Filed under: Gammaproteobacteria bacterium CG12_big_fil_rev_8_21_14_0_65_46_12
Lineage: Bacteria; Pseudomonadati; Pseudomonadota; Gammaproteobacteria
Description: tRNA-Met
Rfam family: tRNA
About the family: Transfer RNA (tRNA) molecules are approximately 80 nucleotides in length. Their secondary structure includes four short double-helical elements and three loops (D, anti-codon, and T loops). Further hydrogen bonds mediate the characteristic L-shaped molecular structure. tRNAs have two regions of fundamental functional importance: the anti-codon, which is responsible for specific mRNA codon recognition, and the 3' end, to which the tRNAs corresponding amino acid is attached (by aminoacyl-tRNA synthetases). tRNAs cope with the degeneracy of the genetic code in two manners: having more than one tRNA (with a specific anti-codon) for a particular amino acid; and 'wobble' base-pairing, i.e. permitting non-standard base-pairing at the 3rd anti-codon position.
Source: RNAcentral
GCCCUCUAAAAAGAAGCAGCGGACUCAUAAUCCGUUGGUCCAAGGUUCAAGUCCUUGUGGGCCCA